UACGUAGGGGGCAAGCGUUGUCCGGAAUUAUUGGGCGUAAAGCGCGCGCAGGCGGUUUUUUAAGUCUGAUGUGAAAGCCCGCGGCUCAACCGUGGAGGGUCAUUGGAAACUGGGGGACUUGAGUGCAGAAGAGGAGAGUGGAAUUCCGCGUGUAGCGGUGAAAUGCGUAGAGAUGUGGAGGAACACCAGUGGCGAAGGCGACUUUCUGGUCUGUAACUGACGCUGAGGCGCGAAAGCGUGGGGAGCAAACAGG
This 253-nucleotide ribosomal RNA is filed under the name uncultured bacterium. RNAcentral's name for it is "partial 16S ribosomal RNA". It matches the Rfam family "Bacterial small subunit ribosomal RNA", at positions 524 to 776 of the family's 1533-position model. The record is from RNAcentral.